AGUGAACGCUGGCGGCGUGCCUAAUACAUGCAAGUCGAACGGAGUGGCGCACGGGUGAGUAAUGUAUAGCUAAUCUGCCCUACACUAGAGGACAACAGUUGGAAACGGCUGCUAAUACUCUAUAGUGUAGGAUGAGGCUAUAUUGUAUCAGCUAGUUGGUGAGGUAAUGGCUCACUAAGGGUAUGACGCAUAACUGGUCUGAGAGGCUGAUCAGUGACACUUGAGAUGAGACACGGUCCAGACUCCUACGGGAAGCAGCAGUAGGGAAUAGUGCGCAAUGGGGGAAACCCUGAAGCAGCAAGGCCGCGUGGAGGAUGACAAUUUUGGGAGCGUAAACUCCUUUUGAUAGGGAAGCGGUACCUAACGAAUAAGCACCGGCUAACUCCGUGCCAGCAGCCGCGGUAAUAC
RNAcentral lists this ribosomal RNA (408 nucleotides) under uncultured bacterium. Its description in RNAcentral is "partial 16S ribosomal RNA". It matches the Rfam family "Bacterial small subunit ribosomal RNA", at positions 29 to 526 of the family's 1533-position model. The record is from RNAcentral.